GAGGUGAACUACUGUAACAGUUCAGUGUGUUCUAGUGUCUCUCUCUAUGUAGUGAACUACUGUAACAGUUCAGUGUGUUCUAGUGUCUCUCUCUAUGUAGUGAACUACUGUAACAGUUCAGUGUGUUAUAGUUUAUCUAGUAGGUGAAAUACUGUAACAGUUCAGUGUGUUACAGUGCCUCUACCCUUUUGGUGAAAUACUGUAACAGUUCAGUGUUUUAUAGUGUCUCUUGGAGGUGAACUACUGUAACAGUUCAGUGUAUUA
RNAcentral lists this long non-coding RNA (264 nucleotides) under Salmo salar (Atlantic salmon). RNAcentral describes it as "lncRNA (ENSSSAG00000111032.1)". Lineage: Eukaryota; Metazoa; Chordata; Actinopteri; Salmoniformes; Salmonidae. The record is from RNAcentral.